Molecule: ribosomal RNA, 465 nt
Filed under: Vreelandella stevensii
Lineage: Bacteria; Pseudomonadati; Pseudomonadota; Gammaproteobacteria; Oceanospirillales; Halomonadaceae
Description: partial 16S ribosomal RNA
Rfam family: Bacterial small subunit ribosomal RNA
Source: RNAcentral
CCUACGGGAGGCUGCAGUGGGGAAUAUUGGACAAUGGGGGGAACCCUGAUCCAGCCAUGCCGCGUGUGUGAAGAAGGCCCUCGGGUUGUAAAGCACUUUCAGUGAGGAAGAACGCCUGGUGGUUAAUACCCAUCAGGAAAGACAUCACUCACAGAAGAAGCACCGGCUAACUCCGUGCCAGCAGCCGCGGUAAUACGGAGGGUGCGAGCGUUAAUCGGAAUUACUGGGCGUAAAGCGCGCGUAGGUGGCUUGAUAAGCCGGUUGUGAAAGCCCCGGGCUCAACCUGGGAACGGCAUCCGGAACUGUCAAGCUAGAGUGCAGGAGAGGAAGGUAGAAUCCCCGGUGGAGCGGUGAAAUGCGUAGAGAUCGGGAGGAAUACCAGUGGCGAAGGCGGCCUUCUGGACUGACACUGACACUGAGGUGCGAAAGCGUGGGUAGCAAACAGGAUUAGAUACCCUGGUAGUC